CCUACGGGUGGCAGCAGUGAGGAAUAUUGGUCAAUGGACGAGAGUCUGAACCAGCCAAGUAGCGUGAAGGAUGACUGCCCUAUGGGUUGUAAACUUCUUUUAUAAAGGAAUAAAACGAGGCACGUGUGCCUUUUUGCAUGUACUUUAUGAAUAAGGAUCGGCUAACUCCGUGCCAGCAGCCGCGGUACUACGGAGGAUCCGAGCGUUAUCCGGAUUUAGUGGGUUUAAAGGGAGCGUAGAUGGGUUGUUAAGUCAGUUGUGAAAGUUUGCGGCUCAACCGUAAAAUUGCAAUUGAUACUGGCAGGAUUGAGUACAGUUGAGGUAGGCGGAAUUCGUGGUGUAGCGGUGAAAUGCUUAGAUAUCACGAAGAAACCCGAUUGCGAAGGCAGCUUACUAAACUGUGACUGACAUUGAUGCUCGAAAGUGUGGGUAUCAAACAGGAUUAGAUACACUUGUAGUC
This 460-nucleotide ribosomal RNA is filed under the name uncultured bacterium. RNAcentral's name for it is "partial 16S ribosomal RNA". It matches the Rfam family "Bacterial small subunit ribosomal RNA", at positions 338 to 795 of the family's 1533-position model. The record is from RNAcentral.